AAGAGGCGUGUGAGGUGAGAGUCUCAAGCAAGGUUCUGUGGGAAGGUGAGGGUGAAAUUCCCUUGCCUGACCCGAU
This 76-nucleotide non-coding RNA is filed under the name Algoriphagus yeomjeoni. The record is from RNAcentral. Lineage: Bacteria; Pseudomonadati; Bacteroidota; Cytophagia; Cytophagales; Cyclobacteriaceae.